This 21-nucleotide non-coding RNA is filed under the name Arabidopsis thaliana (thale cress). The record is from RNAcentral. Lineage: Eukaryota; Viridiplantae; Streptophyta; Magnoliopsida; Brassicales; Brassicaceae.
UGUAAAUAUCAGGUUCCAUUU